Molecule: ribosomal RNA, 2050 nt
Filed under: Escherichia coli
Lineage: Bacteria; Pseudomonadati; Pseudomonadota; Gammaproteobacteria; Enterobacterales; Enterobacteriaceae
Description: partial 23S ribosomal RNA
Rfam family: Bacterial large subunit ribosomal RNA
Source: RNAcentral
AUAAUGGGUCAGCGACUUAUAUUCUGUAGCAAGGUUAACCGAAUAGGGGAGCCGAAGGGAAACCGAGUCUUAACUGGGCGUUAAGUUGCAGGGUAUAGACCCGAAACCCGGUGAUCUAGCCAUGGGCAGGUUGAAGGUUGGGUAACACUAACUGGAGGACCGAACCGACUAAUGUUGAAAAAUUAGCGGAUGACUUGUGGCUGGGGGUGAAAGGCCAAUCAAACCGGGAGAUAGCUGGUUCUCCCCGAAAGCUAUUUAGGUAGCGCCUCGUGAAUUCAUCUCCGGGGGUAGAGCACUGUUUCGGCAAGGGGGUCAUCCCGACUUACCAACCCGAUGCAAACUGCGAAUACCGGAGAAUGUUAUCACGGGAGACACACGGCGGGUGCUAACGUCCGUCGUGAAGAGGGAAACAACCCAGACCGCCAGCUAAGGUCCCAAAGUCAUGGUUAAGUGGGAAACGAUGUGGGAAGGCCCAGACAGCCAGGAUGUUGGCUUAGAAGCAGCCAUCAUUUAAAGAAAGCGUAAUAGCUCACUGGUCGAGUCGGCCUGCGCGGAAGAUGUAACGGGGCUAAACCAUGCACCGAAGCUGCGGCAGCGACGCUGAUGCGUUGUUGGGUAGGGGAGCGUUCUGUAAGCCUGUGAAGGUGUGCUGUGAGGCAUGCUGGAGGUAUCAGAAGUGCGAAUGCUGACAUAAGUAACGAUAAAGCGGGUGAAAAGCCCGCUCGCCGGAAGACCAAGGGUUCCUGUCCAACGUUAAUCGGGGCAGGGUGAGUCGACCCCUAAGGCGAGGCCGAAAGGCGUAGUCGAUGGGAAACAGGUUAAUAUUCCUGUACUUGGUGUUACUGCGAAGGGGGGACGGAGAAGGCUAUGUUGGCCGGGCGACGGUUGUCCCGGUUUAAGCGUGUAGGCUGGUUUUCCAGGCAAAUCCGGAAAAUCAAGGCUGAGGCGUGAUGACGAGGCACUACGGUGCUGAAGCAACAAAUGCCCUGCUUCCAGGAAAAGCCUCUAAGCAUCAGGUAACAUCAAAUCGUACCCCAAACCGACACAGGUGGUCAGGUAGAGAAUACCAAGGCGCUUGAGAGAACUCGGGUGAAGGAACUAGGCAAAAUGGUGCCGUAACUUCGGGAGAAGGCACGCUGAUAUGUAGGUGAAGUCCCUCGCGGAUGGAGCUGAAAUCAGUCGAAGAUACCAGCUGGCUGCAACUGUUUAUUAAAAACACAGCACUGUGCAAACACGAAAGUGGACGUAUACGGUGUGACGCCUGCCCGGUGCCGGAAGGUUAAUUGAUGGGGUCAGCGCAAGCGAAGCUCUUGAUCGAAGCCCCGGUAAACGGCGGCCGUAACUAUAACGGUCCUAAGGUAGCGAAAUUCCUUGUCGGGUAAGUUCCGACCUGCACGAAUGGCGUAAUGAUGGCCAGGCUGUCUCCACCCGAGACUCAGUGAAAUUGAACUCGCUGUGAAGAUGCAGUGUACCCGCGGCAAGACGGAAAGACCCCGUGAACCUUUACUAUAGCUUGACACUGAACAUUGAGCCUUGAUGUGUAGGAUAGGUGGGAGGCUUUGAAGUGUGGACGCCAGUCUGCAUGGAGCCGGCCUUGAAAUACCACCCUUUAAUGUUUGAUGUUCUAACGUUGACCCGUGAUCCGGGUUGCGGACAGUGUCUGGUGGGUAGUUUGACUGGGGCGGUCUCCUCCUAAAGAGUAACGGAGGAGCACGAAGGUUGGCUAAUCCUGGUCGGACAUCAGGAGGUUAGUGCAAUGGCAUAAGCCAGCUUGACUGCGAGCGUGACGGCGCGAGCAGGUGCGAAAGCAGGUCAUAGUGAUCCGGUGGUUCUGAAUGGAAGGGCCAUCGCUCAACGGAUAAAAGGUACUCCGGGGAUAACAGGCUGAUACCGCCCAAGAGUUCAUAUCGACGGCGGUGUUUGGCACCUCGAUGUCGGCUCAUCACAUCCUGGGGCUGAAGUAGGUCCCAAGGGUAUGGCUGUUCGCCAUUUAAAGUGGUACGCGAGCUGGGUUUAGAACGUCGUGAGACAGUUCGGUCCCUAUCUGCCG